Molecule: non-coding RNA, 29 nt
Filed under: Mus musculus (house mouse)
Lineage: Eukaryota; Metazoa; Chordata; Mammalia; Rodentia; Muridae
Source: RNAcentral
UAGGAUGCAAUGAUGCAAUGAGGUGAUGU